CGACAGGCUUAACACAUGCAAGUCGAGGGGCAGCAUAAAAGUAGCAAUACUUGGUGGCGACCGGCGCACGGGUGAGUAACGCGUAUGCAACCUACCUAUCAGAGGGGAAUAACCCGGCGAAAGUCGGACUAAUACCGCAUAAAACAGGGGCACCGCAUGGUGAUAUUUGUUAAAGAAAUUCGCUGAUAGAUGGGCAUGCGUUCCAUUAGGUAGUUGGUGAGGUAACGGCUCACCAAGCCGACGAUGGAUAGGGGAACUGAGAGGUUGGUCCCCCACACUGGUACUGAGACACGGACCAGACUCCUACGGGAGGCAACAGUGAGGAAUAUUGGUCAAUGGGCGGGAGCCUGAACCAGCCAAGUCGCGUGAAGGAAGAAGGAUCUAUGGUUCGUAAACUUCUUUUGCAGGGGAAUAAAGUGCAGGACGUGUCCUGUUUUGUAUGUACCCUGAGAAUAAGGAUCGGCUAACUCCGUGCCAGCCGCCGC
Molecule: ribosomal RNA, 485 nt
Filed under: uncultured bacterium
Lineage: Bacteria
Description: bacterial SSU rRNA
Rfam family: Bacterial small subunit ribosomal RNA
Source: RNAcentral